This is a non-coding RNA of Triticum aestivum (bread wheat), 121 nucleotides long. Lineage: Eukaryota; Viridiplantae; Streptophyta; Magnoliopsida; Poales; Poaceae. The record is from Rfam.
AUGCUACUCCCUCCGUCCGAAAAAGCUUGUCCCAAGCUUGUCCCUCAAAUGAAUGUAUCUAGCACUAAUUUGGAGCUAGGUACAUCUAUUUGAGGGCUUUUUCGGACGGAGGGAGUAUUUU